Molecule: ribosomal RNA, 239 nt
Filed under: uncultured bacterium
Lineage: Bacteria
Description: partial 16S ribosomal RNA
Rfam family: Bacterial small subunit ribosomal RNA
Source: RNAcentral
CCGGCGCACGGGUGAGUAACGCGUAUCCAACCUGCCCACCACUUGGGGAUAACCUUGCGAAAGUAAGACUAAUACCCAAUGAUAUCUCUAGAAGACAUCUGAAAGAGAUUAAAGAUUUAUCGGUGAUGGAUGGGGAUGCGUCUGAUUAGCUUGUUGGCGGGGUAACGGCCCACCAAGGCAACGAUCAGUAGGGGUUCUGAGAGGAAGGUCCCCCACACUGGUACUGAGACACGGACCAG